This 482-nucleotide ribosomal RNA is filed under the name uncultured bacterium. RNAcentral's name for it is "partial 16S ribosomal RNA". It matches the Rfam family "Bacterial small subunit ribosomal RNA", at positions 30 to 507 of the family's 1533-position model. The record is from RNAcentral.
AUUGAACGCUGGCGGCAUGCCUUACACAUGCAAGUCGAACGGUAACAGGUCUUCGGAUGCUGACGAGUGGCGAACAGGUGAGUAAUACAUCGGAACGUGCCCGAUCGUGGGGGAUAACGAAGCGAAAGCUUUGCUAAUACCGCAUACGAUCUACGGAUGAAAGCGGGGGAUCUUCGGACCUCGCGCGGACGGAGCGGCCGAUGGCAGAUUAGGUAGUUGGUGGGAUAAAAGCUUACCAAGCCGACGAUCUGUAGCUGGUCUGAGAGGAUGAUCAGCCACACUGGGACUGAGACACGGCCCAGACUCCUACGGGAGGCAGCAGUGGGGAAUUUUGGACAAUGGGCGCAAGCCUGAUCCAGCCAUGCCGCGUGCAGGAUGAAGGCCUUCGGGUUGUAAACUGCUUUUGUACGGAACGAAAAGGUGCCUUCUAAUAAAGGGCGCUCAUGACGGUACCGUAAGAAUAAGCACCGGCUAACUACGUG